GGGGUAGGUCCGCACGGAGGCGCAACCCUUAUCCUUUGUUGCCAGCGCGUAAUGGUGGGAACUCAAAGGAGACUGCCGGUGAUAAACCGGAGGAAGGUGGGGAUGACGUCAAGUCAUCAUGGCCCUUACGAGUAGGGCUACACACGUGCUACAAUGGCAGAUACAAAGAGAAGCGACCUCGCGAGAGCAAGCGGAACUCAUAAAGUCUGUCGUAGUCCGGAUUGGAGUCUGCAACUCGACUCCAUGAAGUCGGAAUCGCUAGUAAUCGUAGAUCAGAAUGCUACGGUGAAUACGUUCCCGGGCCUUGUACACACCGCCCGU
RNAcentral lists this ribosomal RNA (321 nucleotides) under Proteus mirabilis. RNAcentral's name for it is "bacterial SSU rRNA". It matches the Rfam family "Bacterial small subunit ribosomal RNA", at positions 1077 to 1397 of the family's 1533-position model. The record is from RNAcentral. Lineage: Bacteria; Pseudomonadati; Pseudomonadota; Gammaproteobacteria; Enterobacterales; Morganellaceae.